GACGAACGCUGGCGGCGUGCUUAACACAUGCAAGUCGAACGGAAAGGCCCUGCUUUUGUGGGGUGCUCGAGUGGCGAACGGGUGAGUAACACGUGAGUAACCUGCCCUUGACUUUGGGAUAACUUCAGGAAACUGGGGCUAAUACCGGAUAGGAGCUCCUGUUGCAUGGUGGGGGUUGGAACGUUUCGGCGGUUGGGGAUGGACUCGCGGCUUAUCAGCUUGUUGGUGGGGUAGUGGCUUACCAAGGCUUUGACGGGUAGCCGGCCUGAGAGGGUGAACGGCCACAUUGGGACUAAGAUACGGACCAGACUCCUAAGGGAGGCAGCAGUGGGGAAUAUUGCACAAUGGGCGGAAGCCUGAUGCAGCAACGCCGCGUGCGGGAUGACGGCCUUCGGGUUGUAAAACGCUGUCGCCUGUGACGAAGCGGGAGUGACGGUAAUGGGUAAAGAAGCACCGGCUAACUACGUG
Molecule: ribosomal RNA, 468 nt
Filed under: uncultured bacterium
Lineage: Bacteria
Description: partial 16S ribosomal RNA
Rfam family: Bacterial small subunit ribosomal RNA
Source: RNAcentral